RNAcentral lists this ribosomal RNA (372 nucleotides) under uncultured organism. RNAcentral's name for it is "bacterial SSU rRNA". It matches the Rfam family "Bacterial small subunit ribosomal RNA", at positions 526 to 896 of the family's 1533-position model. The record is from RNAcentral.
CGAGUGCCCCGAGCGUUAUCCGGAAUUAUUGGGCGUAAAGGGUGUGUAGGUGGUUGUAUUAGUCUUCUGUGAAAUUCUUCGGCUUAACCGGGGUCCCGCAGGAGAAACGGUACAACUAGAGGAUGCGAGAGGUGAAUGGAACUCAUGGAGUAGGGGUGAAAUCCGUUGAUAUCAUGGGGAACACCAAAUGCGAAGGCAAUUCACUGGCGCACUCCUGACACUGAGACACGAAAGCGUAGGUAGCGAAGAGGAUUAGAUACCCUCGUAGUCUACGCCCUAAACGAUCCAGACUGGGUUUUCGGAGUAUCGACCCUCUGAGAGCCGAAGCUAACGCGUUAAGUCUGGCGCCUGGGUAGUACGGCCGCAAGGCUA